AUGACUGUUGUGGAUCGUCGCGGCACUGACGCCGCGCGAGCCGACACAUCCAAGGUCAAAGCUCUUCGGGAUUUUCGCCGCGCUCGGGGAUUAUGCUUCAAGUACGGCGAGCGCUGGGAACAUGAGCACGUCUGCCCAAGCACCAUCCAGCUGCAUGUUGUCGAAGAGAUGCUCGCUCUUUUGGGGGCUGAUUCCAUCAGUGACAGCGAGGGGGACAUCCAGCAAGUCCAUGCCAUCUCGCGGCCAGCUCUUGAUGGUGGCGUCUCACCCAAAGCUUUCCAGCUACUAGCCACCAUGCAGAAUAGAGAGGUGUUGAUCUUGGUGGACAGCGGCAGCUCGACUUCUUUCAUCAACAAGAAACUAGCUGAUCAGCUUAUAGGUGCAGUUCCUCUGCUUCGGCCCUCACGAGUUAAGGUAGCUGACGGGGGCGAACUUCUCUGUACAGAGUCCAUACCAUGCUGUCAGUGGUCGUCGCAAGGGCUUGAUUUUGUCACUGAUAUGAAGAUCCUGCCGCUGGGUGUAUACGAUGCUAUCCUUGGCAUGGAUUGGUUGGAGCAGCACGGUCCGAUGACCGUUGACUGGAAGCACAAACAUCUCCAGAUUCCUACACCAAGAGGCCCGGCUCACUUGUUUGGCCACGAAUCAAAUUCCACCACCUGCCAUGUGAUCAACAGUGCGCAGUUGCAGUAG
Molecule: ribosomal RNA, 690 nt
Filed under: Triticum aestivum (bread wheat)
Lineage: Eukaryota; Viridiplantae; Streptophyta; Magnoliopsida; Poales; Poaceae
Description: partial small subunit ribosomal RNA
Source: RNAcentral